UACAGAGGGGGCAAGCGUUGUUCGGAAUUACUGGGCGUAAAGGGCGCGUAGGCGGCCUUCUAAGUCAGACGUGAAAUCCCCGGGCUCAACCCGGGAACUGCGUCUGAGACUGAAAGGCUCGAAUCCGGGAGAGGGAUGCGGAAUUCCAGGUGUAGCGGUGAAAUGCGUAGAUAUCUGGAGGAACACCGGUGGCGAAGGCGGCAUCCUGGACCGGCAUUGACGCUGAGGCGCGAAAGCCAGGGGAGCAAACGGG
Molecule: ribosomal RNA, 253 nt
Filed under: uncultured bacterium
Lineage: Bacteria
Description: partial 16S ribosomal RNA
Rfam family: Bacterial small subunit ribosomal RNA
Source: RNAcentral